UCGAUCAUAAGCAAUUAAAUAAAAAUCACAUAUUCAUGCUAAGGCUCAAGGCUUCGCCCUAGCAGAAGAAAUUAGUUCCGCAUAUUCAUAAUUGAAAUCAUAGAAAUAUCUAUUAAGAAAAGGAUUGAAAACACCUUCAAGUAGAAAAUCUUCAAAACCCUAGCACUUCUCUCUGUCUCCAAUAUUGCAUAAAAUAAAAGCGUCCCCAAUCUUGCAUAAAAUAAAGCGUUAUCUAAAACUGUAGACGGCCAAGCAAUAUAUCUGCUAAGCCACCACAAAAACCCUAGCAAACUAAAAUUAAUAAAAACCCUAAAUAAAAAUAGUAAAAUUCGUCUAAAAUCUGAACAGCCACGUUUUGGCCCAAAAGCUGCUCCAAAACUGGCCCAAUAUAGCUGGAUUUGAUGUUUGGAAUAUUCUGAACACUUUUCCAGAAGGCCACGAACCCAUCCGAGGUCAUCUUGGGCUCCAAAAACGUCAUUUAAGCCCAAAAACGUCACUUUCCAGCACUGCGCACUGCUUCUUUAUUUCAUCGCCAGAAAAUAACUGCUUGGUGGAAAAAUCCCAAAUUUUGAUACGAUCAAGCUAAUUGACUCACGAACGUCCUCCAAUUGGAAUUACUCCAAAAUUCGUCCAUUUGGUCCUGUUUUGCUCUAGAGGA
RNAcentral lists this long non-coding RNA (658 nucleotides) under Malus domestica (apple). Its description in RNAcentral is "long non-coding RNA (MDOM_LNC005860)". The record is from RNAcentral. Lineage: Eukaryota; Viridiplantae; Streptophyta; Magnoliopsida; Rosales; Rosaceae.